CCUACGGGUAGCAGCAGUGAGGAAUAUUGGUCAAUGGACGCAAGUCUGAACCAACCAUGCCGCGUGCAGGAAGAAGGCUCUAUGAGUUGUAAACUGCUUUUGUACGAGAGUAAACGCAGAUACGUGUAUCUGUCUGAAAGUAUCGUACGAAUAAGGAUCGGCUAACUCCGUUCCAGCAGCCGCGGUAAUACGGAGGAUUCAAGCGUUAUCCGGAUUUAUUGGGUUUAAAGGGUGCGUAGGCGGUCGGAUAAGUUAGAGGUGAAAUCCCGAGGCUCAACGUCGGAAUUGCCUCUGAUACUGUUCGGCUAGAGAGUAGUUGCGGUAGGCGGAAUGUAUGGUGUAGCGGUGAAAUGCUUAGAGAUCAUACAGAACACCGAUUGCGAAGGCAGCUUACCAAGCUACUUCUGACGUUGAGGCACGAAAGCGUGGGGAGCGAACAGGAUUAGAUACCCCAGUAGUC
This 460-nucleotide ribosomal RNA is filed under the name uncultured bacterium. RNAcentral describes it as "partial 16S ribosomal RNA". It matches the Rfam family "Bacterial small subunit ribosomal RNA", at positions 338 to 795 of the family's 1533-position model. The record is from RNAcentral.